GACGAACGCUGGCGGCGUGCUUAACACAUGCAAGUCGAACGGAAAGGCCCUGCUUUUGUGGGGUGCUCGAGUGGCGAACGGGUGAGUAACACGUGAGUAACCUGCCCUUGACUUUGGGAUAACUUCAGGAAACUGGGGCUAAUACCGGAUAGGAUCUCCUGCUGCAUGGUGGGGGUUGGAAAGUUUCGGCGGUUGGGGAUGGACUCGCGGCUUAUCAGCUUGUUGGUGGGGUAGUGGCUUACCAAGGCUUUGACGGGUAGCCGGCCUGAGAGGGUGACCGGGCACCUUGGGCCUAAGAUACGGCCCAGACUCCUACGGGAGGCAGCAGUGGGGAAUAUUACACAAUGAGCGCGCGCCUGAUGCAGCAACGCCGCGUGCGGGAUGACGGCCUUCGGGUUGUAAACCGCUUUCGCCUGUGACGAAGCGUGAGUGACGGUAAUGGGUAAAGAAGCACCGGCUAACUACGUG
This 468-nucleotide ribosomal RNA is filed under the name uncultured bacterium. RNAcentral describes it as "partial 16S ribosomal RNA". It matches the Rfam family "Bacterial small subunit ribosomal RNA", at positions 28 to 507 of the family's 1533-position model. The record is from RNAcentral.